RNAcentral lists this unclassified non-coding RNA (374 nucleotides) under plant metagenome. RNAcentral's name for it is "partial contains small subunit ribosomal RNA, internal transcribed spacer 1, and 5.8S ribosomal RNA". The stretch from base 326 to 374 matches the Rfam family "5.8S ribosomal RNA", at positions 1 to 49 of the family's 154-position model. The record is from RNAcentral.
UUUCCGUAGGUGAACCUGCGGAAGGAUCAUUAACACGUUUCGUUCCGAACGUUUUGACCCACCCUAUUUUCCGUGCACUUUACAACCCGGCCUCCUGACCCAACCUGCUGGUUUACUGGCUGUGUUCUGGUCGGGCGUCUUCAGGGCUCAUAGGCGCCGUUGUCAGAAAUGAUUGUCCGUGCGAAAUGCAUGUCUUUCGUAGUAUGACUCUGUGUACCUCCUGGAGGCGUUGCCACCCAACCCCAAACCCUUGAAUCUAACUGCUCUGAUUUCAAGUUGUGCAUAGUCUCUUCGGAGAUUGUGCCAACGAUCUAAAACCAACAACACCUCUUAACAAUGGAUAUCUUGGUUCUCGCAUCGAUGAAGAAGGCAGC